Molecule: ribosomal RNA, 200 nt
Filed under: uncultured bacterium
Lineage: Bacteria
Description: partial 16S ribosomal RNA
Rfam family: Bacterial small subunit ribosomal RNA
Source: RNAcentral
GAUGAACGCUAGCGGCAGGCCUAAUACAUGCAAGUCGAGGGGUAGUGGAGCUUGCUCCAUGAGACCGGCGCACGGGUGCGUAACGCGUAUGCAACUUACCCUUAUCUGGGGGAUAGCCCGGUGAAAACCGGAUUAACACCCCAUAGUAUUUUUGAAAGGCAUCUUUUAGGAAUUAAAAAUUUAUUGGAUAGGGAUGGGCG